The sequence is a ribosomal RNA, 1330 nucleotides long. It matches the Rfam family "Bacterial large subunit ribosomal RNA", at positions 1638 to 2925 of the family's 2925-position model.
GGAAUCGUACCCCAAACCGACACAGGUGGUCGGGUAGAGAAUACCAAGGCGCUUGAGAGAACUCGGGUGAAGGAACUAGGCAAAAUGGUACCGUAACUUCGGGAGAAGGUACGCUCUUGAUGGUGAAGUCCCUCGCGGAUGGAGCUGACGAGAGUCGCAGAUACCAGGUGGCUGCAACUGUUUAUUAAAAACACAGCACUGUGCAAAAUCGCAAGAUGACGUAUACGGUGUGACGCCUGCCCGGUGCCGGAAGGUUAAUUGAUGGGGUUAGCGCAAGCGAAGCUCUUGAUCGAAGCCCCGGUAAACGGCGGCCGUAACUAUAACGGUCCUAAGGUAGCGAAAUUCCUUGUCGGGUAAGUUCCGACCUGCACGAAUGGCGUAAUGAUGGCCACGCUGUCUCCACCCGAGACUCAGUGAAAUUGAAAUCGCUGUGAAGAUGCAGUGUACCCGCGGCUAGACGGAAAGACCCCGUGAACCUUUACUACAGCUUGGCACUGAACAUUGAACCUACAUGUGUAGGAUAGGUGGGAGGCUAUGAAGACGUGACGCUAGUUGCGUUGGAGCCGUCCUUGAAAUACCACCCUUGUAUGUUUGAUGUUCUAACUUAGACCCGUUAUCCGGGUUGAGGACAGUGCCUGGUGGGUAGUUUGACUGGGGCGGUCUCCUCCCAAAGAGUAACGGAGGAGCACGAAGGUGGGCUAAUCACGGUUGGACAUCGUGAGGUUAGUGCAAUGGCAUAAGCCCGCUUAACUGCGAGAAUGACGGUUCGAGCAGGUGCGAAAGCAGGUCAUAGUGAUCCGGUGGUUCUGUAUGGAAGGGCCAUCGCUCAACGGAUAAAAGGUACUCCGGGGAUAACAGGCUGAUACCGCCCAAGAGUUCAUAUCGACGGCGGUGUUUGGCACCUCGAUGUCGGCUCAUCACAUCCUGGGGCUGAAGUCGGUCCCAAGGGUAUGGCUGUUCGCCAUUUAAAGUGGUACGCGAGCUGGGUUUAGAACGUCGUGAGACAGUUCGGUCCCUAUCUGCCGUGGGCGUUGGAAGAUUGAAGGGGGCUGCUCCUAGUACGAGAGGACCGGAGUGGACGAACCUCUGGUGUUCGGGUUGUGUCGCCAGACGCAUUGCCCGGUAGCUAAGUUCGGAAUUGAUAAGCGCUGAAAGCAUCUAAGCGCGAAGCGAGCCCUGAGAUGAGUCUUCCCUGACGGUUUAACCGUCCUAAAGGGUUGUUCGAGACUAGAACGUUGAUAGGCAGGGUGUGUAAGCGUUGUGAGGCGUUGAGCUAACCUGUACUAAUUGCCCGUGAGGCUUAACCAUACAACACCCAAGGGGUUUUGUA